GACGAACGCUGGCGGCGUGCUUAACACAUGCAAGUGGAGCGACGAACCAGGCUUCGGCCUGGGGCAAAGCCGCGAACGGGUGAGUAACACGUGGGUAACCUGCCCCGAUGACCGGGACAACCCGAGGAAACUCGGGCUAAUACCGGAUGUGGUCACCUCACAUAAGUGAGAUGACUAAAGAUAGCUUCGGCCUUCGCAUCGGGAUGGGCCCGCGGCGCAUUAGCUUGUUGGGGGGUAACGGCCUACCAAGGCGACGAUGCGUAGCUGGUCUGAGAGGACGAUCAGCCACACUGGGACUGAGACACGGCCCAGACUCCUACGGGAGGCAGCAGUGGGGAAUCUUGCGCAAUGCGCGAAAGCGUGACGCAGCAACGCCGCGUGGGGGAAGACGGCC
Molecule: ribosomal RNA, 394 nt
Filed under: uncultured bacterium
Lineage: Bacteria
Description: bacterial SSU rRNA
Rfam family: Bacterial small subunit ribosomal RNA
Source: RNAcentral